Molecule: ribosomal RNA, 274 nt
Filed under: uncultured bacterium
Lineage: Bacteria
Description: partial 16S ribosomal RNA
Rfam family: Bacterial small subunit ribosomal RNA
Source: RNAcentral
AUACGGAGGGUGCGAACGUUAAUCGGAAUUACUGGGCGUAAAGCGCGCGUAGGCGGCUUUGUAAGUCGGAUGUGAAAGCCCUGGGCUCAACCUGGGAAUGGCAUUGGGUACUGUUUAACUAGAGUGCAGGAGAGGAGAGUGGAAUUCUCGGUGUAGCGGUGAAAUGCGUAGAUAUCGGGAGGAACACCAGUGGCGAAGGCGGCUCUCUGGACUGACACUGACGCUGAGGUGCGAAAGCGCGGGUAGCAAACAGGAUUAGAAACCCGGGUAGUCC